GAUGAACGCUGGCGGCGUGCCUAAUACAUGCAAGUCGAGCGAACAGACGAGGAGCUUGCUCCUCUGACGUUAGCGGCGGACGGGUGAGUAACACGCGGAUAACCUACCUAUAAGACUGGGAUAACUUCGGGAAACCGGAGCUAAUACCGGAUAAUAUUUUGAACCGCAUGGUUCAAUAGUGAAAGACGGUUUUGCUGUCACUUAUAGAUGGAUCCGCGCCGCAUUAGCUAGUUGGUAAGGUAACGGCUUACCAAGGCAACGAUGCGUAGCCGACCUGAGAGGGUGAUCGGCCACACUGGAACUGAGACACGGUCCAGACUCCUACGGGAGGCAGCAGUAGGGAAUCUUCCGCAAUGGGCGAAAGCCUGACGGAGCAACGCCGCGUGAGUGAUGAAGGUCUUCGGAUCGUAAAACUCUGUUAUUAGGGAAGAACAAAUGUGUAAGUAACUAUGCACGUCUUGACGGUACCUAAUCAGAAAGCCACGGCUAACUACGUG
RNAcentral lists this ribosomal RNA (497 nucleotides) under uncultured bacterium. RNAcentral describes it as "partial 16S ribosomal RNA". It matches the Rfam family "Bacterial small subunit ribosomal RNA", at positions 28 to 507 of the family's 1533-position model. The record is from RNAcentral.